UUCCGUAGGUGAACCUGCGGAAGGAUCAUUAAUGAUURCGAAUGGCUGCCUUCAGUGCUGGCUCUUAUGAGCAUGUGCACGUUGGUGGCUUUCAUCCAAUACCCAUGUGAACCUUUGGCCUCUUGCUAGCUUUGGCCGGCAGAGGAUUUUUAUACACACACUCGAAUGUAAUGAAAACUAUUGUCGUGYGCAAGCACUAAUGUACAACUUUCAACAACGGAUCUCUUGGCUCUCGCAUCGAUGAAGAACGCAGCGAAAUGCGAUAAGUAAUGUGAAUUGCAGAAUUCAGUGAAUCAUCGAAUCUUUGAACGCACCUUGCACCCUUUGGCAUUCCGAAGGGUAUGCUCGUUUGAGUGUCAUUGUACUCUCACACUCUCUGAUCCUUUGGAUUCAGRGAGCGGUGGACUUGGGUGUUGCUGCUUUUCCUUGUGGCUCACCUCAAAUGUGUUAGUGCACCUCUUGGUUGGACAUAGAACGGCGUGAUAAGUGUCUUCGCCGGCACCUCGCAAGAGGGUGGCCAAUUGGGAGCUCUGUGCUUUCAAACCGUCUUCGGACAAUCUCUGACAACUUGACCUCAAAUCGAGUAGGACUACCCGCUGAACUUAAGCAUAUCAAUAAGCGGAGGAAAAGAAACUAACAAGGAUUCCCCUAGUAACGGCGAGUGAAGAGGGAAGAGCUCAAAUUUUGAAUCUGGCGUCUUUGGCGUCUGAAUUGUAAUCUAGAGAAGUGUUUUCCGUGAUGGACCGUGCACAAGUCUCCUGGAAUGGAGCGUCAUGGAGGGUGAGAAUCCCGUAUAUGGCAUGGACUACCGUUACUCUGUGAUACACUCUCGACGAGUCGAGUUGUUUGGGAAUGCAGCUCCAAAUGGGUGGUAAAUGCCAUCUAAAGCUAAAUAUUGGCGAGAGACCGAUAGCGAACAAGUACCGUGAGGGAAAGAUGAAAAGCACUUUGGAAAGAGAGUGAAACAGUACGUGAAAUUGUUGAAAGGGAAACGCUUGAAGUCAGUCGCGCCGUUCGGGAUUCAGCCUUGCUUCUGCUCGGUUUACUUCCCGUUGGGUGGGUCAACAUCAGUUUUGGUCGGAGGAGAAAGGCCUGGGGAAGGUGGCAGCAUUCGUGCUGUGUUAUAGCCCCUUGUUGUAUACUUCGGCUGGGACUGAGGACCGCAGCACGCCUUUGGCCGGGGUUCGCCCACGUACGUGCUUAGGAUGUUGGCAUAAUGGCUUUAAGCGACCCGUCUUG
Molecule: ribosomal RNA, 1239 nt
Filed under: uncultured Sebacina
Lineage: Eukaryota; Fungi; Basidiomycota; Agaricomycetes; Sebacinales; Sebacinaceae
Description: eukaryotic LSU rRNA
Rfam family: Eukaryotic large subunit ribosomal RNA (bases 570-1239)
Source: RNAcentral